AGAACGAACGCUGGCGGCAUGCCUAACACAUGCAAGUCGAACGAGACCUUCGGGUCUAGUGGCGCACGGGUGCGUAACGCGUGGGAAUCUGCCCUUGGGUUCGGGAUAACAGUUGGAAACGACUGCUAAUACCGGAUGAUGUCUUCGGACCAAAGAUUUAUCGCCCAAGGAUGAGCCCGCGUAGGAUUAGCUUGUUGGUGGGGUAAGAGCUCACCAAGGCGACGAUCCUUAGCUGGUCUGAGAGGAUGAUCAGCCACACUGGGACUGAGACACGGCCCAGACUCCUACGGGAGCAGCGAGUGGGGAAUAGUUCGGACAAGUGGGACGAAAGCCUAGACUCCGAGACC
Molecule: ribosomal RNA, 347 nt
Filed under: uncultured soil bacterium
Lineage: Bacteria
Description: bacterial SSU rRNA
Rfam family: Bacterial small subunit ribosomal RNA
Source: RNAcentral